RNAcentral lists this ribosomal RNA (300 nucleotides) under uncultured fungus. RNAcentral describes it as "eukaryotic LSU rRNA". The stretch from base 1 to 78 matches the Rfam family "5.8S ribosomal RNA", at positions 78 to 154 of the family's 154-position model. The record is from RNAcentral. Lineage: Eukaryota; Fungi.
AAUUACGUGAGUCAUUGAAUCUUUGAACGCACUAUUGCGCCCUUUGGUAUUCCGAAGGGCAUGCCUGUUCGAGCGUCAUUAUCAACCCUCAAGCCUGGCUUGCCAUUGGACUCUGUCGCGGUCCUGCGACAGGCCUCAAAGAUAACGACGGCGUCUGUCCGACCCUCGAUGCAACGAGCCUUUUAUGGCACGCAUGGAAGUGGUCUGGUCGGCCCGGUCUGAACCAUUAUUUUUCACGGUUGACCUCGGAUCAGGUAGGAGUACCCGCUGAACUUAAGCAUAUCAAUAAGCGGAGGGAGA